Molecule: transfer RNA, 65 nt
Filed under: Idgia sp. n. 1 Yunnan, Laos
Lineage: Eukaryota; Metazoa; Arthropoda; Insecta; Coleoptera; Prionoceridae
Also listed under: 2 other names
Description: tRNA-Leu
Rfam family: tRNA
About the family: Transfer RNA (tRNA) molecules are approximately 80 nucleotides in length. Their secondary structure includes four short double-helical elements and three loops (D, anti-codon, and T loops). Further hydrogen bonds mediate the characteristic L-shaped molecular structure. tRNAs have two regions of fundamental functional importance: the anti-codon, which is responsible for specific mRNA codon recognition, and the 3' end, to which the tRNAs corresponding amino acid is attached (by aminoacyl-tRNA synthetases). tRNAs cope with the degeneracy of the genetic code in two manners: having more than one tRNA (with a specific anti-codon) for a particular amino acid; and 'wobble' base-pairing, i.e. permitting non-standard base-pairing at the 3rd anti-codon position.
Source: RNAcentral
UUCUAAAAUGGCAGAAUAGUGCAUUGGAUUUAAACCCCAAAUAUAAAGAAUUUCUUUUUUUAGAA